Molecule: ribosomal RNA, 512 nt
Filed under: uncultured bacterium
Lineage: Bacteria
Description: partial 16S ribosomal RNA
Rfam family: Bacterial small subunit ribosomal RNA
Source: RNAcentral
GACGAACGCUGGCGGCGUGCCUAAUACAUGCAAGUCGAGCGAAUUUACGAGAGCUUGCUCUCGUAAAUUAGCGGCGGACGGGUGAGUAACACGUGGGCAACCUGCCUAUAAGACUGGGAUAACUUCGGGAAACCGGAGCUAAUACCGGAUAAUUCACAUCUACUCAUGUAGAUGUGCUGAAAGACGGUUUCGGCUGUCACUUAUAGAUGGGCCCGCGGCGCAUUAGCUAGUUGGUGAGGUAACGGCUCACCAGGGCCACGAUGCGUAGCCGACCUGAGAGGGUGAUCGGCCACACUGGGACUGAGACACGGCCCAGACUCCUACGGGAGGCAGCAGUAGGGAAUCUUCCGCAAUGGACGAAAGCCUGACGGAGCAACGCCGCGUGAGUGAUGAAGGUUUUCGGAUCGUAAAACUCUGUUGUUAGGGAAGAACAAGUACCAGAGUAACUGCUGGUACCUUGACGGUACCUAACCAGAAAGCCACGGCUAACUACGUGCCAGCAGCCGCCGCGG